AACUCGAAGAUUCAAAAAGAAGCACGAAAAAGGGCACUCGGUAGAAAAAUAGAAAGAAAAAAAAGAAAACCGAGCAAACAAAAGAAACAAACACAGUAUAUAACAUCGAUUCUGAACCAAAAACCCACUUAUUUCCCGUUUUUGUUUGAAUAUCCACACCCUAACCCAAGCUAAGUUACAACCUGAAAAAGAGACUAUUCAAACUUGCGAGUUGAUAUUGCAUAUUCUGAAUUAUGAGUGCAGAUACUUAACCCCAAGAGAAUUGGUGAGAAUGUGAUUUAAGCUGACAGGUGAAACGGUAUUUUGAAGUGGAAGUGAGAUUGAAAACUUACAAGGAAAAAGUAGGACUUAUGGAAGGAAAAGGAAAGACGUUAGCGAAUGAUCUCAGCAGUGGUGGGAAACAUAAAGAAUUCGGGGGAGUGACAGUGUUGUCUGAAACAUUACUUGCGGACAAGCAAUGAGCUAAGUUUGGGGUUGUGAUCAGUCACCAUUUGCAUAAAGUUUUCGUUACUGAUCCGACAAGAAAUUGAGGCUUUUGAAACACUGUGCAAGCAUUUUUUUUAUACUUUUCGAGUCAAUUUUACUUCCGAUAUUAUAUUUAAGAAUUUUCAAUCAUUGUUAUAUUUUAAUUUUAUUUUCGUGAUUUUAUGCGUGGGAUAGCUGUGUUUUUG
RNAcentral lists this long non-coding RNA (671 nucleotides) under Lathyrus oleraceus (garden pea). RNAcentral's name for it is "Pisum sativum (pea) long non-coding RNA (PSAT_LNC031675)". The record is from RNAcentral. Lineage: Eukaryota; Viridiplantae; Streptophyta; Magnoliopsida; Fabales; Fabaceae.